RNAcentral lists this ribosomal RNA (551 nucleotides) under uncultured Bacteroidota bacterium. RNAcentral describes it as "bacterial SSU rRNA". It matches the Rfam family "Bacterial small subunit ribosomal RNA", at positions 334 to 885 of the family's 1533-position model. The record is from RNAcentral. Lineage: Bacteria; Pseudomonadati; Bacteroidota.
UUGGCCUACGGGGGGCAGCAGUGAGGAAUAUUGGACAAUGGACGAAAGUCUGAUCCAGCCAUGCCGCGUGCGGGAUGACUGCCCUAUGGGUUGUAAACUGCUUUUAUAUAGGAAGAAACACUCCCACGUGUGGGGGCUUGACGGUACUAUAUGAAUAAGGAUCGGCUAACUCCGUGCCAGCAGCCGCGGUAAUACGGAGGAUCCAAGCGUUAUCCGGAAUCAUUGGGUUUAAAGGGUCCGCAGGCGGCCUGUUAAGUCAGAGGUGAAAGCCAACAGCUCAACUGUUGAACUGCCUUUGAUACUGAUAGGCUUGAGUUAUUGUGAAGUGGUUAGAAUGUGUGGUGUAGCGGUGAAAUGCUUAGAUAUCACACAGAAUACCCAUUGCGAAGGCAGAUCACUAACAAUAUACUGACGCUCAUGGACGAAAGCGUGGGGAGCGAACGGGAUUAGAUACCCCGGUAGUCCACGCCGUAAACGAUGGAUACUAACUGUUCGACCUUAGGGUUGAGUGGUCAAGCGAAAGUGAUAAGUAUCCCACCUGGGGAGUACGC